UGAGCUCAGUUGGCUGAAGUCCCUUGGAGC
This 30-nucleotide non-coding RNA is filed under the name Rattus norvegicus (Norway rat). Lineage: Eukaryota; Metazoa; Chordata; Mammalia; Rodentia; Muridae. The record is from RNAcentral.